UCGGGAGCUGAAACUGAGUUUUUAUCUGUAGAUAUCGACACUUUCGUCAGUUAACUUAAACAUGGUACUUGUCAGAAACAUCUCAGCAAGUUUAUAGCCGUCAUAUGCAGUGAUUUACAGAGAAACACAAGCUUGCACAACAGAUCCAACCAAAACAAAGUAGCACAAACUUGAUCAUGGCAAGAACUGAAAUAAGCGCUGUUGUUAUUUCUCCAGAUCAUGAAUCAGUGUGAUCCCACACAAGUUACAAGAGGACAGAGCACAAACAGCUAACUACAGAGCGCCAUCGAUCUCAUCCACCAAAGAAGACACAGGGACAGCCGAAUUAGGCGGAGGUGUGACGGCCAUGGUGCCCUCGGAAAGCAUCUAACUCCAGCCUGGAAAGCAGCAAAUACUCGUAAUAACCCUGCAAGAAAACAUUGAUCUUGAGACCACAUAAAAAAAAGCCAAAAAUGGCAACAUCAUCAGCACACACAUCUACAAAUUGGAAACUGCACAGCUCACAUUAAGCCCCAGCAAAAUACAUGGGAUUUCUUAUUGUAUAUAUCCUGGCCCAAACACACAUAAUUCAAUGUCUAUUCUUGUGUAAAAGAAUUCUGUAUGUGAUAAAUUCUACUAUAAUAUUUACUGUUUAGUGUGUAGGAAGUCAACUGAUGACUGAAAUGAGCAGCUAUAUACAACAAAUAGACCACAGCUGUUGUAGAGCUAGGAUUCAUCUGUGCAGAUAUAUAAGCAAUUGUCAACAAUGCUCCCAGGUAAACGCCAUUCAAUCUUUUGUUAUAAUAAAAGUUCACGUAUGAUUAAGCCCAAACAGACGAGGUUGUGAUCCUUUUACUCCUAUCUAACUAGAGACAAGCACCGAACACGCAAACAAGCCAUCACCAGAAAAUAAAUGAUGAUGUAGCAAUAACAACAAAUAGAUCACAGCUGUUCUAGAGUUAGGAUUCAUAUGUGCAGAUGUAAGCAAUGUUGAACGAUACUUGCAGAUGAAGGGCAUUCUUGCUGUUGAAGUUUGCAGGCGAUUAGCCGCAAACAGACAAGUUUGCAGGCGAUUGUUGCAGCCAUAAUCACUUCAUGUAGUGACUAGUGUCUACCCAACCAGCUUCAGGUUUUAGUAACUGGACCCCAGAAGAGAG
RNAcentral lists this long non-coding RNA (1136 nucleotides) under Triticum aestivum (bread wheat). Its description in RNAcentral is "long non-coding RNA (TAES_LNC013150)". The record is from RNAcentral. Lineage: Eukaryota; Viridiplantae; Streptophyta; Magnoliopsida; Poales; Poaceae.